Long non-coding RNA from Macrosteles quadrilineatus (aster leafhopper), 1566 nucleotides. RefSeq lists it as uncharacterized. The transcript has 2 exons. The record is from RefSeq and is a predicted model, not a curated record. Lineage: Eukaryota; Metazoa; Arthropoda; Insecta; Hemiptera; Cicadellidae.
UUCCACUAUUUUAUUAUUUAGUAAAAGAUUUGGGAGUAAUAAGACCAUAAUGGAUUUUAUUUGGAAAGUGUAUUUGGUGUAAUUUGAGAACCAUAAAAUAUAUAUGUAUUUGGCCUACCUUGUCUUUUAAUUUAUCUCACUUCUACUACCAGCUUGAAUUAGAUUCAUCCUAAAUUGAAGUAUACUACCUAAUUGGCUACAUGGUAGGGGUAUAGUUUCCAUUCCUGCAAAUUUGUGUCGGCACAAAUCUCCAAAUUUGUAGGAAUGGAAACAUCCUGGCUCAAGUCGCGGCACAAAUUUGUGCCCGCUGACUGUGCGACAAAACAUGUGCCCGGGCCGCGGGCACAUGUGCCUGCAACUCGUGCAUGCAGCAGGUCCUCCAAACUACCGCAUGCUCAUAAAUGACAGGUAAUCAUAACCUCAAAUUUCGUUGAGUCCGUUGGAGGAAAUUUUCGAAGCCACUUUGUAUGCGCAAAUCUCUCAUCAAUUGAUUAAAUGCACCUUCCAAUGCUCUUUUAGCCAAAAAACUUCUUAUCCACUAUCUAGGUAGUUUUCUUCUAAGUUCAUUGUAUGCACCAGCCAUAAAUAAAAAAGCAGAGGCUGUUAUGUCAUCCAUGGUGAUUUGUAGAACACAAUAUAAUCAAAAUCAGCCACCGAACCUCACCACAUCACAAUAAAAGAGAACACUGCCUUGUCUACCAGUUGUAGUGGCGGGACUUGUGCCUGGAAUGGAAACGGCAUGACAAACUACGUGCGACAUGUGCCUCGUCAUGGUCACGACAUGUGCCUCGACUUGUGCCUGCGACUUGUAGGAAUGGAAAUGUAGCUUAAGGGUACUCACGGCGUAGUGCUUGAUAUCCUGACCCUAGAAAAGAUGACAUGCAGGCAGUGGUGGAUUUAGAACAGUCACAAGGGGGGGGGGACCAGGGUGUCUGAGAGGUUCGGGGGUACCCCCUCCCUCCCCAAAAAUUUGUUUAAACUAAGUCUUCAAAAAUGGCAGUUUUAUACCAUUUCUUUGUCCUAAGUUAGUGUGACAAAUUAUUUUACGCAAUUUGUAUGCACUACUGUAUUAAAUGCAGUCAAAAAUAUAUGACAUAUAUUUCCAAACUGCGACUGCCCCCCCCCCCUCUGGAUCCGCCACUGGGGUGCAGGAGUACUAUACCAGAAGAGCACAAAAUAUAGACUUUUCCUGCUGUCGUCUCAAACAUACCUAGAAUAGCUAUCCUCGUUCUACUAUUAACUACAAUUCAUAACUGCCUACUCAUUUGCAGGAGAUGGAUGCACCCUCCUUCAGAAGGCGCUGAAAGGAAUACUAAUUAUAGGCCGCUGUACUCCGUAGAAGAACUUAAGGAAGAGCACCUAGUGAGAUAAGUGUAUGUCUGCCAUAUCAUCCGUUAAACAGCCAGGUUUUUGAAGGAAGAAAGAUGUAGCCCCAGCUCUGGACAAAAAUAUUAUGGAGAAGGUUGGCCGCUGUACAGGGCAGCUAUAGUUAUUAUUAUAUGUUGCCUUUUAUUGUUAUGUACUGUUUUUAUACUUUACCAAUAAACCUUAUAUUUAUCUAGAGCA